RNAcentral lists this ribosomal RNA (1453 nucleotides) under Porphyromonas canoris. Its description in RNAcentral is "bacterial SSU rRNA". It matches the Rfam family "Bacterial small subunit ribosomal RNA". The record is from RNAcentral. Lineage: Bacteria; Pseudomonadati; Bacteroidota; Bacteroidia; Bacteroidales; Porphyromonadaceae.
ACAAAGAAGAGUUUGAUCCUGGCUCAGGAUGAACGCUAGCGAUAGGCUUAACACAUGCAAGUCGAGGGGCAGCAUAGAGUCAGCUUGCUGAUUUGGAUGGCGACCGGCGGAUGGGUGCGUAACGCGUAUGCAACUUACCUGUCAGAGGGGGAUAACCCGGAGAAAUUCGGACUAANGUAGGUGAGGUAACGGCUCACCUAGGCGACGAUGGAUAGGGGAACUGAGAGGUUAAACCCCCACACUGGUACUGAGACACGGACCAGACUCCUACGGGAGGCAGCAGUGAGGAAUAUUGGUCAAUGGGCGAGAGCCUGAACCAGCCAAUUCGCGUGAAGGAUGACUGCCCUAUGGGUUGUAAACUUCUUUAGUAGGGGAUUAAAGUUUGCCUUGCGAGGCAAUUUGCAAGUACCCUAAGAAUAAGUAUCGGCUAACUCCGUGCCAGCAGCCGCGGUAAUACGGAGGAUACGAGCGUUAUCCGGAUUUAUUGGGUUUAAAGGGUGCGUAGGUUGCUUUUUAAGUCAGUGGUGAAAAGCUGUGGCUCAACCAUAGUCUUGCCGUUGAAACUGAGGAGCUUGAGUGUAGAUGCUGUAGGCGGAACGCGUAGUGUAGCGGUGAAAUGCAUAGAUAUUACGCAGAACUCCGAUUGCGAAGGCAGCUUACAAAGUUACAACUGACACUGAAGCACGAGAGCGUGGGUAUCAAACAGGAUUAGAUACCCUGGUAGUCCACGCCGUAAACGAUGAUUACUAAGAGUAUGCGAUAUAAUGUAUGUUCUACAGCGAAAGCGUUAAGUAAUCCACCUGGGGAGUACGUCGGCAACGAUGAAACUCAAAGGAAUUGACGGGGGCCCGCACAAGCGGAGGAACAUGUGGUUUAAUUCGAUGAUACGCGAGGAACCUUACCCGGGAUUGAAAUGUGCAUGACGUAGACCGGAGACGGUUUAUACCCUUCGGGGCAUGUAUGUAGGUGCUGCAUGGUUGUCGUCAGCUCGUGCCGUGAGGUGUCGGCUUAAGUGCCAUAACGAGCGCAACCCACAUUGUCAGUUACUANAGCUGAGGACUCUGGCGAGACUGCCGGCGUAAGCCGUGAGGAAGGUGUGGAUGACGUCAAAUCAGCACGGCCCUUACAUCCGGGGCGACACACGUGUUACAAUGGUGAGGACAAAGGGCAGCUACCUGGCGACAGGGUGCGAAUCUCCAAACCUCAUCUCAGUUCGGAUCGGAGUCUGCAACUCGACUCUGUGAAGCUGGAUUCGCUAGUAAUCGCGCAUCAGCCAUGGCGCGGUGAAUACGUUCCCGGGCCUUGUACACACCGCCCGUCAAGCCAUGGAAGUCGGGAGUACCUGAAGUACGUCACCGCGAGGAUCGUACUAGGGUAAUACCGGUAACUGGGGCUAAGUCGUAACAAGGUAGCCGUACCGGAAGGUGCGGCUGGAACACCUCCUUUCUGGAGC